This 496-nucleotide ribosomal RNA is filed under the name uncultured bacterium. RNAcentral's name for it is "partial 16S ribosomal RNA". It matches the Rfam family "Bacterial small subunit ribosomal RNA", at positions 29 to 507 of the family's 1533-position model. The record is from RNAcentral.
AUGCACGCUGGCGGCGUGCCUAAUACAUGCAAGUCGAGCGAACAGAUGAGGAGCUUGCUCCUCUGACGUUAGCGGCGGACGGGUGAGUAACACGUGGAUAACCUACCUAUAAGACUGGGAUAACUUCGGGAAACCGGAGCUAAUACCGGAUAAUAUAUUGAACCGCAUGGUUCAAUAGUGAAAGACGGUUUUGCUGUCACUUAUAGAUGGAUCCGCGCCGCAUUAGCUAGUUGGUAAGGUAACGGCUUACCAAGGCGACGAUGCGUAGCCGACCUGAGAGGGUGAUCGGCCACACUGGAACUGAGACACGGUCCAGACUCCUACGGGAGGCAGCAGUAGGGAAUCUUCCGCAAUGGGCGAAAGCCUGACGGAGCAACGCCGCGUGAGUGAUGAAGGUCUUCGGAUCGUAAAACUCUGUUAUUAGGGAAGAACAAAUGUGUAAGUAACUAUGCACGUCUUGACGGUACCUAAUCAGAAAGCCACGGCUAACUACGUG